UACGUAGGUGGCAAGCGAUACUCGGAAUCACUAGGCGUAAAGCGCAGGUAGGCGGUUCGGUAAGUCUUUUGUGAAAGCUCCCGGCUCAACUGGGAGAGGUCAAAGGAAACUACCGGGCUUGAGUGUGGUAGGGGAUACUGGAAUUCCCGGUGUAGCGGUGAAAUGCGUAGAUAUCGGGAGGAAUACCUAUGGCGAAAGCAGGUAUCUGGGCCAUCACUGACGCUGAUCUACGAAAGCUAGGGGAGCAAACAGG
Molecule: ribosomal RNA, 253 nt
Filed under: uncultured bacterium
Lineage: Bacteria
Description: partial 16S ribosomal RNA
Rfam family: Bacterial small subunit ribosomal RNA
Source: RNAcentral